CUUUAUGUAGAAGUGUUUGGUGAGAUGAACUGACACUCAGUACUUCUCAUGUAUGUGAUCGACCUGCUGAUUUAACAGACGUGAGGAGAAGCGAUGAGUUUAACAGCAGCAGCGAGUGGAUUUGUUGUCGUCCUUCUGUCUGUCCAAGUGAUACGGGGUCAGUAUGACUGAGGAGUGACUUACAGCUCUACUGAGAUCUGUGCCUUAACACAGGGAGCUCACCAACAACAAUAAUGAUAAAUAUCAUCAGGUUGAUUCUGGUGGUUCUGGUGUCGGUUCUGCUGCUUCUGUUUUGUCUGUGGAGGAAGAAGAAAACUCUGAGCUCCACCACUGAACCAAAUGAGCCCACAGAGACUGUGGAGAUGAGAGAGCUGGAGUCUGAUCCUGAUUACACCAACAUCUCACCUUUGAAGAGAGAAACUGCAGCAUGUGGCAGAAGUUCUGAGUAGCAUGCAGCUUUAUGUUUACCUGUGCAGGUACAUUACAUAUGUCAAGGAUUAUACUUGGUUUGCAACAUGCUACUUUAUCUUUUAAUGCUUUUAAUAUAACAUUUUAUUCUAAUGCAGUAACUUGUUUUGAAGAAAUACUGAUUGUUCUAUCACAUCACAGCUGUCCUGGCAGAGAAAGACAUGUGGAACAGGAAGCACAGUAUCUCACAGCAUGUACAUUAUAUAUUAAACACACUGACAUGUAACAUGAGCCCAGCUCUGUCACACUCUGUAGCUGUAACAUGUUCAAAGUUCUGCAGUGGCUGAUUGAAAUAAACAUCCAGCUUCCAACAACUCUGUAGUUUGAACAUCAUGUCAGUUCCCUCUCUGUGCUGCAGAGGGCGACAGUGUGCAGAAAGUUUUGGAUUUAACAAACUCUUUUUGUGUUUAGUCUUCAGAAUAAAGGUUUUAUACAUCAGUAAUGGACACAAAUACAAUGUAAAUCUGUUGACUUGUUUCUCAUUUUCUUAUUAUUAGUCCACUGAUGAAACUGAAUGUAAUAAAAUCUGAAGCUCACCCUGAAACAACAAGGAACUGUCUCAUAAAAUAAA
Molecule: long non-coding RNA, 1039 nt
Organism: Acanthopagrus latus (yellowfin seabream)
Lineage: Eukaryota; Metazoa; Chordata; Actinopteri; Spariformes; Sparidae
Exons: 4
Source: RefSeq, a predicted model, not a curated record